RNAcentral lists this ribosomal RNA (736 nucleotides) under uncultured Staphylococcus sp. RNAcentral's name for it is "bacterial SSU rRNA". It matches the Rfam family "Bacterial small subunit ribosomal RNA", at positions 64 to 781 of the family's 1533-position model. The record is from RNAcentral. Lineage: Bacteria; Bacillati; Bacillota; Bacilli; Caryophanales; Staphylococcaceae.
GAGCGAACAGACGAGGAGCUUGCUCCUCUGACGUUAGCGGCGGACGGGUGAGUAACACGUGGAUAACCUACCUAUAAGACUGGGAUAACUUCGGGAAACCGGAGCUAAUACCGGAUAAUAUAUUGAACCGCAUGGUUCAAUAGUGAAAGACGGUUUUGCUGUCACUUAUAGAUGGAUCCGCGCCGCAUUAGCUAGUUGGUAAGGUAACGGCUUACCAAGGCAACGAUGCGUAGCCGACCUGAGAGGGUGAUCGGCCACACUGGAACUGAGACACGGUCCAGACUCCUACGGGAGGCAGCAGUAGGGAAUCUUCCGCAAUGGGCGAAAGCCUGACGGAGCAACGCCGCGUGAGUGAUGAAGGUCUUCGGAUCGUAAAACUCUGUUAUUAGGGAAGAACAAAUGUGUAAGUAACUAUGCACGUCUUGACGGUACCUAAUCAGAAAGCCACGGCUAACUACGUGCCAGCAGCCGCGGUAAUACGUAGGUGGCAAGCGUUAUCCGGAAUUAUUGGGCGUAAAGCGCGCGUAGGCGGUUUUUUAAGUCUGAUGUGAAAGCCCACGGCUCAACCGUGGAGGGUCAUUGGAAACUGGAAAACUUGAGUGCAGAAGAGGAAAGUGGAAUUCCAUGUGUAGCGGUGAAAUGCGCAGAGAUAUGGAGGAACACCAGUGGCGAAGGCGACUUUCUGGUCUGUAACUGACGCUGAUGUGCGAAAGCGUGGGGAUCGAAACAGGAUUAG